RNAcentral lists this ribosomal RNA (530 nucleotides) under Streptomyces polymachus. Its description in RNAcentral is "bacterial SSU rRNA". It matches the Rfam family "Bacterial small subunit ribosomal RNA", at positions 31 to 577 of the family's 1533-position model. Lineage: Bacteria; Bacillati; Actinomycetota; Actinomycetes; Kitasatosporales; Streptomycetaceae. The record is from RNAcentral.
GAACGCUGGCGGCGUGCUUAACACAUGCAAGUCGAACGAUGAAGCCCUUCGGGGUAGAUUAGUGGCGAACGGGUGAGUAACACGUGGGCAAUCUGCCCUUCACUCUGGGACAAGCCCUGGAAACGGGGUCUAAUACCGGAUACAACCACUGACCGCAUGGUCGGGUGGUGGAAAGCUCCGGCGGUGAAGGAUGAGCCCGCGGCCUAUCAGCUUGUUGGUGAGGUAAUGGCUCACCAAGGCGACGACGGGUAGCCGGCCUGAGAGGGCGACCGGCCACACUGGGACUGAGACACGGCCCAGACUCCUACGGGAGGCAGCAGUGGGGAAUAUUGCACAAUGGGCGAAAGCCUGAUGCAGCGACGCCGCGUGAGGGAUGACGGCCUUCGGGUUGUAAACCUCUUUCAGCAGGGAAGAAGCGAAAGUGACGGUACCUGCAGAAGAAGCGCCGGCUAACUACGUGCCAGCAGCCGCGGUAAUACGUAGGGCGCAAGCGUUGUCCGGAAUUAUUGGGCGUAAAGAGCUCGUAGGCG